Phasianus colchicus (ring-necked pheasant) is the source of this 1676-nucleotide long non-coding RNA. Lineage: Eukaryota; Metazoa; Chordata; Aves; Galliformes; Phasianidae. The record is from Ensembl.
CUCAGAAGCAUAGAAAGCAAAAAAAAAAAAAAAAAAGUGAGAUGGUAUAAUUAGGCCACAAUUUCAUUAAAAGAACCCACCUGGGAACUGCUGUUAAUAACUUGCACAGAAGAGGGCAAGGUUCCUUCCCUAAUUGUUUUCACCUGCAGGAAAGUUGGCUCCUCCUUCUGCUGCCACACACCUCCCCUGAAGGGAUCUUCUCCCACCCUUCUUCCUUUUUCCAUUAUGGUUCCUCAGCCUCAUCCUCGGGCUCUCCUGCCCACCAAGGGCUGGAGACCCAGAAGAAGGAGAUAAUUUCCUUACAGGGACACAGACAGAGCUUGGUCCCCUGCUGCACUCAGCUGAUUUGGUUUUAUCAGCAAGGUGUCAGCUUCCUUGUCAGAACAUCUGGAAUCACAGCAUCAUUUGAAGUGGAAGGGACCCUUAAAGGCCAUCUAAUUCAUUUCCUCUGCAAUGAUCAAGGACACCCACAGCAAGAUCAGAUUUCUCAAAUCCUCAUCCAGCCUGACCCUGGACGUCUCCAAGAACAGGACAUCUACCACCUCUCUAGGCAACCCAUUCCAGUUCCUUACCAUCUUUAUCAUAAAAAUCUUCUUCCUUACAUCCAAGCUAAAUCUCCUCUCCUUUUGUUUGAAACUAUGCCCCCUUGCACCAUCAGAACCAGCCCUGCUAAAGAGUCUGUCCCCUUCUUCCCCAGGAAGGGGGCACUAGGCUCAAAACCCAGGAUAUUGCUUCUUCCUGAAUGAAACAGAAAGAUAUGGUUUCAGCAGCUGGUAUGCCAGAUCCUCAUUCCUGAAAAGGAAAUAUUGCAACAAACCCUAUUACAAUAUGAGUCCGCUGCAACUAAUGAGAGAAGGAAAGGCUGCCUGGGUUCGUAAUGGUGCCCUUUCCUAACUGGAAUUACACUGUUCUGCUGCCUGUGCAAACAAAGCCAGAAAGCUUGCAAAUGAAGCAGAGAGCAAGGGGAGGGAAUGAUGCCAAAGGAAGCAGUGUGGCCAAGGUUGUGCAGGCAGCCAGUGGCAGAGAAAGCACUCAGCCUCCUAAUUCCCAGUUCUUUCCUCUUGUCAUCUGAAAAUGUUUUAUUUCAGGCACACGCCAUUUGCUGGUCUCCAUGGGUCAAAUUGGACCAGAACAUUUCAAUGAAAAACAGUCAUUUUUAUGUUCCAAGAAUCACAGUGAACAAUCCUGAGCUGAGGUUUCUUAGGUAAUACACAGCUGUUAGACAGAAUGAAAGUUUGCUAUAAGUGAUUGCUGUUGAAAUGCAAGAGUGAAGGAUGACUUUGGAGAGUCUCAGGAGUAGCUCAGGUAAUGUAUGUCCUCCCACAGAUAGAACAAGGAAAUUACAUAGGGACAAGACAAAAAUCAGAACAGUUUUAUAUUAGGCUCUGUCCUCUAUUUGUUAGGGUUCUUGCCUUCACUCUUGUCAAAUCAUAAAUGUGUUUUUCCUCUUUAUUCUGUGUUACAGCUGGAAAGAUUAUCGUGGUGAAAAUGGGAAAAGAAACAAACAGGAAAGGAAUGCUCACAUCUAUCCAAAGAUCUAGGUUCACAGAAAAGACUCCACAAAGAAGGGAUCUCCAGAAAGGGCUCCUCCUCUAGGGGCAGUCAGCCCUUAAAUAGGGUCUAGGGCCUUCUGGUUGCACAGGUGAAUUGCUUUCAGCUGUGCUCCCAUGGCUGAC